Molecule: RNA transcript, 1366 nt
Organism: Musa acuminata AAA Group (dessert banana)
Lineage: Eukaryota; Viridiplantae; Streptophyta; Magnoliopsida; Zingiberales; Musaceae
Exons: 6
Source: RefSeq, a predicted model, not a curated record
CCCGUCUUCCCCCUCCAAUUCGUCUUAUCCAAGCGACCUAAGGUUUAUGAAUCGCCGAUUUAUUUUAAACGCAUCUCCUUCCACUCUCUGAAUCGCCCGUCGCAGCUACCUUGCUUCUCCUUAGUUCGUUCAUCGAUCUGUAAUUAUGGGUCAGAUCCUUGCGGUUGUACAAGAAAAGUUCCACGGGAAACAAUGGAAGGAGAAGCAGAUUCGGAAGAUAACCGAUCGCGUCUUCGACCACAUCAGAGACGAGAGCUCCGACUCCAGGGACGGCCUCACCUUUGAGGACGUCUACAUCGCCGUCCUCUGCGUCUUCAAUGACAUCAACAAGCACCUGCCUGGGCCCCACCACGAUCCGCCCACCAAGGACAAGCUGAGAUCCUUGAUGAAGGAAUACGAUGUUAACCUUGAUGGGCUACUUAACCGCGAGGAGUUUGCAGAGUUCAUUCGGAAACUGACAGCUGAAACCUUAACUGCAAUCAGUCAAAGUCUUAUAAUUGCACUUAUAUUGGCUCCAACCAUCGCGCUGAUGACAAAGAGGGCAACCGAAGGAGUGCCCGGUGUGGGUAAAGUGGUGCAGAAGCUUCCAAAUUCCAUCUACGCUUCCAUCAUUACCCUUGGGGUGCUGUUGGCCCAAAAAUCCACGGAGGGUUGUGAAUAACCAAGUCAAGAAUUUCUACAACGGCUUUCUAAAAAGUUUAGGUGCUCUUUGGAUACGAAUCUCCUGUUCUGAUAUAAUAAAUUGUACGGAGCAGUUGGUCAGGUUGGGCGUGAGCAUGAUGGAGGCAUCCACGGAUUCCAAUAUCUCAUGAGAGGAGCACGAAGACUAGUAUGGAUGCUUCAAGAUCCGCUGUGAUUCGCACUGCGACACGUCGCUGCAAUCCUGGCAGCGAACCAAACCUCGACUUCGUCUGCUGCAAUCAUGGCAGGAUAAGCAGCGAGACCAGUCUGGUACGGACGUUACGCGCCGACUUCGCCGUAUUACAUAUGCUGCUCGUUCAAACUUUGUUAGGGAAGAAGACUCCACCAAACCGCGUCCGGACAAGCGCCACCAACUCUUGGGAAAGCGAAGGGAAGAGGCCAUACGAUACAUAAAUGGUGCCAAAUCGGGCGGCACUAACUACCGGUCUAAGCAUCCGAGUGGAGAGGGGACUCGGGGCGGUUUAUCUGUUUGGGGUUUAGAAUGGUGGGCAGGGCAGGGCCGGCAGUCUUCCACUUUCUUCGGUAACACUACUGCUUGUCUGAUCGCGCUUCUCAUUUGAUUUCUGAUGGGGGCUUGUUUUCUAUGUCAGGCUUUGGGAUAGCGAGCAUCGGGACUCUCUCUCUCUAUAUAUAUAUAUAGCAAAUCAGGUGUUGAUUCGGAGGA